This 447-nucleotide ribosomal RNA is filed under the name uncultured bacterium. RNAcentral's name for it is "bacterial SSU rRNA". It matches the Rfam family "Bacterial small subunit ribosomal RNA", at positions 331 to 793 of the family's 1533-position model. The record is from RNAcentral.
CCAGACUCCUACGGGAGGCAGCAGUGGGGAAUAUUGCACAAUGGGGGGAACCCUGAUGCAGCGACGCCGCGUGGGCGAGGAAGUAUUUCGGUAUGUAAAGCCCUAUCGGCAGGGAAGAAGAAAUGACGGUACCUGAAUAAGAAGCACCGGCUAAAUACGUGCCAGCAGCCGCGGUAAUACGUAUGGUGCAAGCGUUAUCCGGAUUUACUGGGUGUAAAGGGAGCGUAGGCGGUUUAGCAAGUCAGAAGUGAAAGCCCGGGGCUCAACUCCGGGACUGCUUUUGAAACUGUUGAACUAGAUUGCAGGAGAGGUAAGUGGAAUUCCUAGUGUAGCGGUGAAAUGCGUAGAUAUUAGGAGGAACACCAGUGGCGAAGGCGGCUUACUGGACUGUAAAUGACGCUGAGGCUCGAAAGCGUGGGGAGCAAACAGGAUUAGAUACCCCAGUAA